Non-coding RNA from Coturnix japonica (Japanese quail), 8561 nucleotides. The record is from RefSeq and is a predicted model, not a curated record. NCBI's taxonomy places the organism in Eukaryota, Metazoa, Chordata, Aves, Galliformes, Phasianidae.
GUGGUUGGGGGCAGGGCAGGGAGGAAGAUUGUCCUUUUGCUGUGAAUUAUACGAGAACCGUGGAUACUCUUCCUGGUAUUACAAGCACAAACUUGCCAUCUAACAAGGCAGAAAAGCAAACCCUUCUGCGCACCUCCCUUCCAAUGGCAUGUUUUCCAGCUUUGCUGGGCUGCAAGGAGCCAAUCUGAGUGAAAGCCUAUUUCCUCUGUGUGUUCCCUCUCUUGAUCAGGAUAUCAGCCAGUCAUCUAAAAGAGCUCAUGUUUCUCACUGUGCUUCUCCAGAUCAGCCUUGUGCCUUCUAUGUCAAUCUGCCUCAGCUGAGCCGACCCAUGCCAACACUGUACAGAAUCUUUUUGGUGUCACCAGGCAAUCUGAAGCAACAGUGAAGCUCUGUUCCUCAUCUGCCAGCCAGUUUCUAAUCCAGGCCUUGCUAUUUUUAUACAGUCAGGAUUUCUCCACUCCCUUAAUAAAUAUUAUUAUGUGGCACUCUAUCAAAUAUCUGACCAAAGGAAGAGCAGUUUAAAAUAAUUUCUGGCCAUACUGGCACAGAAGACAGUCGACUAAUCAAAUUUCAUCUUGUUCACUGGGCUGACUUGAACAGCAAAUCUCCUCUCAGAUAAAAGUUCUGGGCAUCAGGAUUCUGCCAGCAUUUCCACCAAACUAGCGCUCUCUUUCCCUUCUCUCUAACAGCAGUUGCACUGAUGAUAUAGAAGGGAAGAGUUCUGCAAAGUCCAGACGUGACCACCAUCUUACCCACUCAUGUCACAAAGAAAGGAUUUCCUUCAGUGGCCCAAAAGAACAGGAACAUUCCCCACUGCCAUGUUCUCUUGGCCCUGGCCCCAGUGUGUGCUCUGUGUUCUGAUGAAGACCUGAGUGACCAGGAGACAUUCCUGAGGCUUCAUCUAAGCUGAGUUAAAGCACACAGGCAAAAUGCAAUAAUAUAAUAAUGAGAAAGUUGCCUCAAAUAUGUCAUUUGUAACAUCAGCUGAAUUGUAAUUUAGAGCUGUGCUCCCUCCCACUCAGCCUGGCUACCUUGAAUGGACAAAGGCCAACAUUUGCAGAGUACUCUAGUAUGGUAGAAACUGUCUCUCAGGAAAUGGAGCCCUUCACAAUAUCUUUGGUAGGAUUCCCAAAAUCACCUUCAGACCUUCAGCAUAUGUAAACCCUGGAGUGGUUCCCCAUGUGCUCUGUUCAGGGCUAAGAUGAUGGAUCACUCUCGUGUUCAAACAGGCUAAUAGAUUGCUUUCAGACAUCGUUUUGGGUUCAACUGCCCAUCUUGGAUAGCUUGUACCAAAACUAGCCCUGGCUUGUAAUUUCUCUGCUGAGGAAAAUUGGACUGGCCUUUCACAAGGAGGCAGGCUGAGCUUCAGCUGUGCCUCUUUCCCCCUUCCAGGUGUGGGGAAUGAGGUGCUGGGAGAUGAAGGGCAGCUGAGCAGUGAGGCUUUGCUAUAAAAUGGACCUGCUGGGUUAGGAGCCUCCAAAAGGUCUUCUGGGAGCUGAGCUGGGCAUGAGAAUAUAGAGGUUACUGCUAUGAUGCAUAGGGGAACAAUAGGCUUACAGCAAGACUCUGAGUGCAUAUCUAGAGAUUUAACCUCAGAUCUUUGAUUGUGGUUAAAGCUUUGAUUGUUGAAAGCUAGUAAGACAGCUGCUAGAGAGAAGAGGAAGUAGAUGUAUUUGGAAACUACCUUUUAUGAUUGGUACCACGUAAGGGAAGGGGAGCAUAGCAAUGCCCAGUUCUCAGGAAAGAAAACAAUUAUUCUGAGCAGAGAGUUACCUUCUGUAAUUCUCCCUAGUUCCCAGCUGUUUUCUGCUUUGGAGGGACUGCAGGAGAAGCUCUUAAGGCAAGUAAGAUUAGGAACCAGAAGCAAUUCUGAAAGUCUAGUGCCUGAAGGUAUUUCUGAAGUUCUAGAAAAUUCUGCAUUUGGGGGAAGAAGUGACUUUGCAUCCCUGGUCUUAUUUACAGUGAGGGUUUCUGGAAUUCUCUCUUUUAAUGUCAAUAUGGUAAUUUGACCUACUAUAUCAUAGAUUGGCCUGAGUUGAGAAGGACUACAGUGAUCAUCUGUUUUCAACCCCCCUGCUAUGUGCAGGGUCACCAAUUACUAGACCAGGCUGCCCAGAGUCAGUAUGUCAUACUUCUGUUUAUUGCUGGGAUACCAUUAGUCUUUAAGCAUGUGAGUUGAUUCUGGGGAUGUAGCUCCUAUCAGAAAUGCUUUUGAGUCCUCUCCCAGAUGUAUAUGUGAACUUUGUUUCUAGGGUCUUUUGAGCAAUUUAAUGGUGGGUCUGUAGGCUCUACACCAGAGCAGCUCUGAUGUGGGGUGUCUGGCUAAACCAGGAUAAUUCUCAGUUGGUGACCUCACAGAUCUCAGGUUGGAGGGCAGAGCUUCAGCAGUGUUAUCUGAGGAGCUGGAGGAUAGGCCCUCUCUGUGAUGAGGUUUGUCCUUGAGCUGCUAUCUUGGUUAGGUGAUUUUAGUCUUAGGGAUAUUUGUCUGCUGGCAGUGCCUGACCAGUUCAUUUAACUUAGGUAACCCCUGUGCUUCUGUCAUAGCAGAGUGUGGCUUAUGCAUCAAUCAGCUGGUUUCCCUGUUGAUUGGUAUCAUUCUUAUCACCCAUGAAGUUUACUGUUCUUUGGCUUCUGUGGUCAGCGAGAGAUUCAGCAACUCUCUGGCCCCAGUGUUUGCAGACAAACAGAAAAGCUGGCACUUGUGUUAGUGUGACCAUGUCCCUGUGGUGGUUGGCAGGCUGUCCUGUUUGAGGUAGUUACAGAUGUUUGAUCUUCAAACAGUGUCCAUAGGGAAUCUUACUACAUUUGAACAGCUCUCAUCUCCUUUGAUAUCUGAAGAGCAGAUAUCACAGCUGAAAGGUUUCCAGUAGCUAUAUUUUCCCUGCUGUUUCAUCACUGAGCAAACAAAGUAAUGGCAAACUUUUAUAUUGCUUAAUUUAAGUAUUCUGAUCUGAAGUUGAUCUAUUUUUUUUCCAUCUGCAAAAUGUUCUUAUGUAAAAGCAGAGAAUCAAGUUGACCUUUGGAUACUUUGGAAACAACCAAUUCCCCAAAACUCUGGGGAUCUAGGCAGGUCCAAUUACUCCUUUAGUAUGUACAGCAUAAACUGCUGUAUAGGUAUAUAGCAAAAGGCUCGUGAAGAUGGGGAUUGUUCCUUUUGAUUAAGGAACAAGAAGGAAUGGCCCAAGGUUAACCUAUAGGUCACUUGUAGAGUGUGAAUGAGCAUCCAGACUCCCUGAGUCCCAGUCCAGUACGUGUUUCAUGCAUCAGGUGGGGAGAAAAAGCAAACAAACACAAAGUGCUCUGAUCCUUGAUGAGAAUGAGGGAGGCCAGGGGAAGCAGUGGAAGAGCUGGUAUGUUCACUUUGUAGCAUGUGGGGCCACACCAGAGACACUUCUCUGGGGCGAGGGAGUGCGAGUCCCUGGAGUUUAACUUGAGUAGGUGUUGUGUUACUUGAUUACUUGAUAUGCAUUCCUUCAUCCGCUCUAUCUGCACUGUAAUUAAUUUAGUUGCUAAACUGAUGGGAUUUAAUCCUGAGGUUCUUGCUGCUUCUCUCUAGUAACUCUGGUAAAGCAGCCACAGAGAUCUCCCACUUGAUUAUCUGUAGCUUUCUAAAUGCUACCCUUCCAGACAAAGGUGGCAUCUGCUUGGGUUCCCAGCUGCUGGCAGAGCAGUUUGAAAGCCUCAGAGAGCACAGGAAGCAAAGAAAGCAGGCCAUCAUAAAAUCAUUAAGGCUGGUAAAGACCUCUGAGAUCACCUGGUCUAACCACCAGCCCAUGCUCACUAGCCAUGUCCCUCAGUGCCACAUCUCCACAUUUUUUUACCGCUUCCAGGGAUGGUGACUCCACCAUCUCCCUGGACAGCCUCCUUGCUUGCUGGUGCAUUUGGGGGGCAGAUGGCAAAGCACACUGCUUUCUGAAGUAGGAAGGUUUCUGCUAGGUUUCUGAAGGUUUCCCCAGGCGAUGCAUGGAGAAUUGAUAACAAUUUGGCACUGGUAGAAAGGAUCUGGAAAGAAGUUCCUUUAGCCUUACAGCUGCUGACGUCCUGCAGACUUUCCUUGAAGUCUGAGGUACAGGUGGAAGUGUCAAAGGUAAGCAAAAUUGUAGGGACUGUCUCAGCACAAUUGACAUCACCUGUGUUUCACUCAGAUGAAAGGGAUAAGAGGGGAAAAAAGCAAAACAAGCUUUGAGAACUUUGAGUAAAAAUUCAUGACUAAUACCUUUAAAGCUGAGCUAGCUCACUUUGCCCUUUAUCUUCAAUCACACCCAGUUUGGUUUAUUUUAUUUGGGCACUAAAUGAAUCUAGUGGCUGCAGGCGAUGGAUGGGCUCAUGAGGUCCCACUGGCUGAGGGUCUUCUCCUGCUCCCUGGUGAGGUGCUGGGCACAGAAGUGAAGUGCUUUGUGGUCUGCCUGAGGUGGGAGCUGGAAGCCAGCUGCUGACUGCAGGCAUCUGCUGAUUGCAGCUCAUUGGGCUGCCAGCAUCAGCUGAUUGAGCUGAGAGUGCUCUCACAGCCAGGACUUAAACAGUGAUGACAGUGAAGAAGGGAAAAACAGCAGAAAAGCGUGCUGUGUCUUAAUAAAUUAUGAUGUUGCUCACAUCAGUGUGCUGGGGCUGAAGGCGUUAGCAGAGAUAGCAGGAAACACAUCUGCUGAAGCAGGAAGUUGUGCUUGAGUGCUUCUUCAGUGAGCUGGAACUUGGAAGCCAACCCCAGUGUGCACGCUUGGAAGCAGGAGGUCGUCCUGAAACACCAGUGGCUUCCAGGCAAGUGUUUAGAAAUUCCUUCAAAGGACACUUUGCUUCACCAGGCGCGUAUGUAACCCCAUAGUCUUCACUUACAUGCAGCAGCUGGUGCCCUUGUGGGUGUGAUCUGAGUUAUACAACCUGCUGAAGAUGCUAAUGUGUGCUGGCAGCCUUGUUCAACAUCAGGCUUUGGAGUCUAUCAGUUCUUGUAAACUCACCAGGAUUACCAGUCUCCAAAGCUUAUUGCUCUUUGGAAAGCUUUCACUUACUAUCUUCUUAGGAUGUAUCUUUCUUGUCUUUGCCCAGUCAUGUUUCCUGACAACCAUUUCUCCAUUCAAAUCUAGAUAGAACUUAAAUGCAGACUUGCACAAAGCGGUUUUUAUGACUCCGGGAGGCAUUUCUUUAUUAGGGUGGCGAAAAGCAAACUUACUUAGCAGGAUGAUCGAUUAGGGGAACAUGCAACCCACAUGAAAUGAACUGUUGGUACCUGGAAAUGCCCCAUGCCUUUAAGCUGAAAUGAGCAGCAUCAUUACCCUGAACGAGCAAAGCAUGUGCCUACAGACACAACAAUGCAUCACAAUCAGCUCUUUCAGCACAGACUUGUUACCAAGAUGUAUGCCCUUGGCAGAGCAUGUGAUCCUGUGGCAUGAGGUGUACUUGAGCAAUUUAGGAAUAAGGUUGAUCUCUGAGCAGAUGGAUCAGUCCUUGGGCAUGCCAGCGCUAUCAUUUUUAUAUGGAUAUGAACACAAGUUCAGACGGACCACCAUGCUAUGUACAGAGAACAACAGGGAAGGGAAAACCUGGAAAGAUUAGUUCGCUCUGAACUCUCAUCUGAAGUGUGACCUGGUGGAGUCACUGUCCCUGGAGGUGUUUGAGGAAAGGGCAUGUGGCACUGAAGGACGUGGUUAGUGGGUACAGUGGCGAUGGAUUGAAGGUGGUACUAGGUGAUUUAGUGUUUUUUUCCAACCUUAAUGGUUCUGUGAUUCUAUUCUAUGACCACUUCUGGUUUCUGAUUUUUUUUAACGAUAUCCAUAGAUUUCUGUCUCAUGUCGGCAUUUGUUAUCGAGUCAUUCCCUCUGAUGCUAUGGAGUUGCAGAGCUGUUUACAGGUGGUCCAGCUGACCCUUAUAUGAAGCAAUGACCUUUUCUGCACUGUAACAUACUGGUGCUGAACCUGGAUGUGUGAGUUCCUCGCAGACUCUGACUACAUGGCAUCCAGCAGCUAGCAAAUUGCAUACCUGCUCUACGUGGGAACCCAGCAGAGCAGGAUGGCUCAGGCCCUCAACAGAGAGCUUCCUGGGAUCUCAGCCAUAUGGCAUACUGCACUGGUUACUAGUGAAGAGGUUCACCUGGGGCUUUCCUACACAUGUGGUUAACAAGACAGUCUACUUCUUCAGCAGGUUUCAAUUAGUGUGGCUGCUUUGUAGGCAGCACUGGCUCAGUCUGGCAGCUUUGCCAAUGGUCUCAGUUGGCUUCUCUUAUUUUUGCCUGCAUAUCUUCUGCUGCUGAUGGAGGAAACAUCUUUCCUGGCUGCACAGCAAGGGGUUCUGGAGACACCUGAGCUGCAGGUAGUGUACAGCUGGCACAUUUGAAUGUAAUGCCAGUCAGUGAGCUGGGAGAGAAGACUGCUAUCAUCUUGGGUGUCCACAGGGGAGGAAAGGGUGAGUGCUCUGAAACUCUUCCUUUUCCACUGCAUCUUUUCCCCUCCACAGAGCCUGAGAUUCCAAGAGCCUCGUGUCCUAUGCAAAGGGGCUGGGGAUGAGGGUAAAGGGCUGCUGAAGUGGGGAAGUCCACGGACUACUAAAGAGUCUUCUGCCCUCCCUGCCAAGAGCCAUGUCCUGCUGCAGUGGGACUCAAGCAGCCACGAGGAGAGGAGGAACUGAAGGUCUGAUCUGGGUACUCUGACUCAUUGCUCAGCUGAGCAGGAAGCUGGUAUGACCAGGAAAACAGCAGGAGAUGGGUUUUUGAGAAGGAACUGGAAAAGAGAAACCUCUGUGCUUCUUUCAGGUAUGUGGUGGGGAGAAGGAAUGGUUCUAGACCUGUUUUAUUGUGGUGAAGAUUGAGAGGGUUGUGCUGCCAUGCUUGGUGCUCACUGUGUAGGUAGCUGUCGUGGUGGUGGAGGGGAGGUCAGUGUGUGGGGUGAUGCUUCUUGCUCUUCUUCAUGCUGCUGGUAUUUUGUGAGAGGUUCCAAAAGCAUUCAUAAAUCCCAGAGUCAGAAAUUAAAACUGGGUGGUGGUUUGUGGUUCAUAUGACAAAAGGACUAGCAUAACAUAAACUAGGAGGGAGGCAUGUAAAGGUGACAGUGAGCCACUGGCUGUGGGUUUAAGUGCUGAAAUAAGCGAUGCUGGUUGUUUCACAAAACCAGGUUCCUCAUCCAGUUAUUACAGAGCUGACAUUUGGGAAAUAAGACACACAUUGAGCCUUUGCGGACAGACCCUGCUUUGCAUGAGCUUUGCUGAGAUUUGCAUUGCCAGGCAUCUCACUUCUGCUUGUCACUGUGAUUGACUCGUUGGCAGUUGCAUUGUGCCACUUACUGCCUGUCACGUUAACUGGAAUUAGCUGCCACCCCCUCUCCCAAUGGCUCAAUCACAGCUCUCCAGCAGCUCAGUUCCUUCUUGCCCUCUGCUGCCAGCCUACUCUGCAAUCACUCUUGCAGUAAGAAUGGCUUUGCACUGGCAUCCCCAUCUACCCCCAAAAAGAGCUGCCUAGCCCUGUCCUCUCAGGCAUGGAAAAACUAUUUCAAACACAGGAGCAAAGAGGAAGAUUUUCAGCAGCCGUAAAGCUUUGCUUUUCCUGGGAGGUGCUCUGUUGAUGCCAGCUGCCAGGGCAUCUCAGUGAAUUUCACUGAUGAUGGGGGAAUUAUAUUUAAACUAAUAGGGCAAAGGGAUUAUCUUUAACAGAAUGAAUGAGUACUGCCCUCCUUUUUGCUGCACUAAGGCCCCUCAUGAUCGCAGACAGCUCCUUUCCCCUCAGUAGCCCUUGUACAAUGGGGAACUGAUCGCAUUUAACCAGCCUAUGUGCUCCAAAGUGGGGUCUGCAUGAGAGAUACAAUGCCUAAUCCCAGACCAGUAAAUAUAUACUGUUUGAUGUGUUUUGAGCAGUCUUUUGCACAUGAACAAGGCAAUGAACAGCAAGAGCAUCUGUAAUUAUGUGUGCUACAGCCCUUUGUGCUGAGCUGGUGCCACGAGGCCAAGCAGCUGAUCUGCCUCCCACAGACCAGAGAGGGUCAGAGGCCACUGUUGCUGACACCGUAUGCUGUGCCCAGGCAAACAUUUGGGUUAGAAAUGUCUGUACUUGCUGGCCAUGUGGAAUGGAGAUGCAUCGCUGUUGUGCAACUGAAGGGCAAAGAGACAGCACGCAGCACUCAUGCAACUUGGGAUGUGCCUGCAGCAUGGCUCAGCACUGUGCUGCUGGGCUGUCAGGGGGCAGAGCUGACAACACGGGCAGCUCAACCCCAAGUGGAGCAGGUGGGACAGAAGUUCCCCACCACAGUCACGGAUGUGCCUAACCAAACCCUACUUCCCUGUGCCAGACACUGAAUGUCAAGUCUGUCUUCCAGAGAUCACAGAAGAAAAUCUGAGAAGCAGGAAAGCAUCACCUGUGCCAGCUGCAGGAGGAUUAGGAGACCUGCCCGGUGUGUGUGAGAAGCCAAUAGCAGAGUGAGAAGUAAAUGCAUGAUGAGUGACUCAGGCUCUGGGCUGGCCCAGCCCAAGGGGUGUGAGCCUGCAUCACCUCCUGAGCAGCUCCAUCCCACCCAGGGGAUCUUUCUUGCCAUCGUCCCAUCAGGACUGAUGUGCUGCCAGAAACCAAAAAUAGCAUCCUGAA